This 401-nucleotide ribosomal RNA is filed under the name bacterium. RNAcentral describes it as "partial 16S ribosomal RNA". It matches the Rfam family "Bacterial small subunit ribosomal RNA", at positions 355 to 775 of the family's 1533-position model. The record is from RNAcentral.
UGGGGAAUUUUGCACAAUGGGGGAAACCCUGAUGCAGCGACGCCGCGUGAUUUAGAAGGCCUUCGGGUUGUAAAAAUCUUUUCUAUGGGAAGAAAAUGACAGUACCAUAGGAAUAAGGACCGGCUAAUUACGUGCCAGCAGCCGCGGUAAUACGUAAGGUCCGAGCGUUGUCCGGAAUCAUUGGGCGUAAAGGGUACGUAGGCGGGUAAGCAAGUUAGAAGUGAAAUCCUAUAGCUCAACUAUAGUAAGCUUUUAAAACUGCUCAUCUUGAGGUAUGGAAGGGAAAGUGGAAUUCCUAGUGUAGCGGUGAAAUGCGCAGAUAUUAGGAGGAAUACCGGUGGCGAAGGCGACUUUCUGGCCAUAACCUGACGCUGAGGUACGAAAGCGCGGGUAGCAAACAG